RNAcentral lists this ribosomal RNA (619 nucleotides) under Streptomyces sp. RNAcentral describes it as "bacterial SSU rRNA". It matches the Rfam family "Bacterial small subunit ribosomal RNA", at positions 230 to 859 of the family's 1533-position model. Lineage: Bacteria; Bacillati; Actinomycetota; Actinomycetes; Kitasatosporales; Streptomycetaceae. The record is from RNAcentral.
CCCGCGGCCUAUCAGCUUGUUGGUGGGGUGAUGGCCUACCAAGGCGACGACGGGUAGCCGGCCUGAGAGGGCGACCGGCCACACUGGGACUGAGACACGGCCCAGACUCCUACGGGAGGCAGCAGUGGGGAAUAUUGCACAAUGGGCGAAAGCCUGAUGCAGCGACGCCGCGUGAGGGAUGACGGCCUUCGGGUUGUAAACCUCUUUCAGCAGGGAAGAAGCGAGAGUGACGGUACCUGCAGAAGAAGCGCCGGCUAACUACGUGCCAGCAGCCGCGGUAAUACGUAGGGCGCAAGCGUUGUCCGGAAUUAUUGGGCGUAAAGAGCUCGUAGGCGGCUUGUCACGUCGGGUGUGAAAGCCCGGGGCUUAACCCCGGGUCUGCAUUCGAUACGGGCAGGCUAGAGUGUGGUAGGGGAGAUCGGAAUUCCUGGUGUAGCGGUGAAAUGCGCAGAUAUCAGGAGGAACACCGGUGGCGAAGGCGGAUCUCUGGGCCAUUACUGACGCUGAGGAGCGAAAGCGUGGGGAGCGAACAGGAUUAGAUACCCUGGUAGUCCACGCCGUAAACGUUGGGAACUAGGUGUUGGCGACAUUCCACGUCGUCGGUGCCGCAGCUAACGCA